ACAAUGAGCACAAGAUUUUAAAAGAGAGCAUGUUAGUGUCAGGAAGUUUUCCAGUUUAUGCACAGUUUAAAGGCAAAGCAAAUCAAAUUAUUCCUGCUCCCAUUGCACGAAAAGGUGCAUGAAAAGGACUUUGUAUGAUAUGUAAACUUGUCUGUGCAUUCCCUGCUUAGCAAGAAAAGUUGACAGAUUAUAAACCGUAUGUAGCCGUUAUGUGGGCACGUUGAUGCAAUAAUUUUGGAUAUGCUAUGCCUCUUUUUAUAUGGUGCUAAACAAUGUUUCAGUUCAUAACCUAUCACAUUUACUGAGCUUUUCCAAGCAAGCAAACUUCCUUUGAAAUAUCCAAAAAUCAUUCAAUCCAUUGUAAAAAGGGGCUUAAACAUAUCCAAAGUUUCCUGCGUACCUUUCACUGUUGGUUGGUAUGGACAACACAUUACAAAACGUGCACUUAGAGUUGCGUGAUUCUACAGAGGAGGAUUAAUUAAUGUAUUUGCAAGGCCUAUAGAGGGAAUUAGUGUCCUAGUUGAUGUUGAUUCUAUGCAAAUUAGAGCAUACAUUGACAGAUUUAGAGCUCCUUUACCUAAAGCUGGAGGUACCGACUUUCGUUCCAAGGCAAAGCCUAAUUCUACCAUUUAUAACGUAACAGAUGGUGGGUUUACCAUUGACGGCUACAUGGUUAGAUGGGCUAAUUGCGAUCUUCAUUUAGCAUUUGAAGAUCGGGCAGCCAUAGUUAUAUCAAAAGCCUCUAUAUUUGAUGCAAAAAUGAAGAAAUUUCGUUGUGUACCACAAAGAGGUCAUGUGUCCAAGACAUUUGUUCCAUGCAUGGAUCCUACCAGGAAUGGUAUUUAGGACUUUUAUGGACGUAGGAGAUACGGCUCGGCUUGAAGCCAACUCAGCUAUUGAUCGUAAAUCCGGAUAAGAAGACCCGACUCGGAAAUCAAGUGGGUUACCGGUUAAUUGCUGGACAACCAGUUAAUUCCCUUCUCUCUAAUGAUGAUCAUCCGCACAUUAGGGCUGCUUAUACAAAAUACCAAGCGUGGGCGACUCGCCAUAACAAGUCGGAGAGAUGGGCCGAUGGAUUUUUCGCUGACCGGAGCCGUGGUGAUGAUGGGUUAGCUGUGUGAGCCUCAGGAACAGAGUAAUUGAGAAAAGAGAUAUAGUUGUAUGGUACACCGUAGGGUUCCACCGCAAUCCAUGCCAAGAAUAUUUCCCGGUGAUGCCCACACUUCAUGAUGAAUUUCAGCUUCGACCUACAAAUUUUUUCGAAAGCAACCCAUUGCUUAACUGAUCAAGAAUCACAAUGUAUGUACAGGCAAGAAUCUGCUAACUGUGGAUAUGUUUUGUCAGUAGGCGAAAUUCUUUCAAAUAACAUGCUUGUGCGAUAACAUCAUGGAUGCAUAAUUACUUUAUUUUAAUGGAAAUUAUACGGUUUUUGCUUA
Molecule: long non-coding RNA, 1436 nt
Organism: Hevea brasiliensis (rubber tree)
Lineage: Eukaryota; Viridiplantae; Streptophyta; Magnoliopsida; Malpighiales; Euphorbiaceae
Exons: 2
Source: RefSeq, a predicted model, not a curated record